This 1390-nucleotide ribosomal RNA is filed under the name uncultured beta proteobacterium. RNAcentral describes it as "bacterial SSU rRNA". It matches the Rfam family "Bacterial small subunit ribosomal RNA". The record is from RNAcentral. Lineage: Bacteria; Pseudomonadati; Pseudomonadota; Betaproteobacteria.
UAGAGUUUGAUCCUGGCUCAGAUUGAACGCUGGCGGAAUGCUUUACACAUGCAAGUCGAACGGCAGCACGGGAGCUUGCUCCUGGUGGCGAGUGGCGAACGGGUGAGUAAUGUAUCGGAACGUACCCCGUCGUGGGGGAUAACUCUCCGAAAGGAGAGCUAAUACCGCAUACGACCCGAGGGUGAAAGCGGGGGACCUGGGGUAACCUGGGCCUCGCGCGAUGGGAGCGGCCGAUAUCGGAUUAGCUAGUUGGUGGGGUAAAGGCCUACCAAGGCGACGAUCCGUAGCGGGUCUGAGAGGACGACCCGCCACACUGGAACUGAGACACGGUCCAGACUCCUACGGGAGGCAGCAGUGGGGAAUUUUGGACAAUGGGCGCAAGCCUGAUCCAGCCAUUCCGCGUGAGUGAAGAAGGCCUUCGGGUUGUAAAGCUCUUUCAGCAGGAACGAAACGGUGGGUCUUAAUACGGCCUGCUAAUGACGGUACCUGCAGAAGAAGCACCGGCUAACUACGUGCCAGCAGCCGCGGUAAUACGUAGGGUGCGAGCGUUAAUCGGAAUUACUGGGCGUAAAGCGUGCGCAGGCGGCGACAUAAGACAGAUGUGAAAUCCCCCGGGCUCAACCUGGGAACGGCGUUUGUGACUGUGUGGCUAGAGUGUAGCAGAGGGGGGUGGAAUUCCACGUGUAGCAGUGAAAUGCGUAAAGAUGUGGAGGAACACCGAUGGCGAAGGCAGCCCCCUGGGUUAACACUGACGCUCAUGCUCGAAAGCGUGGGGAGCAAACAGGAUUAGAUACCCUGGUAGUCCACGCCCUAAACGAUGCCAACUAGGUGUUGGGGGAGGAGACUUCCUUAGUACCGUAGCUAACGCGUGAAGUUGGCCGCCUGGGGAGUACGGUCGCAAGAUUAAAACUCAAAGGAAUUGACGGGGACCCGCACAAGCGGUGGAUGAUGUGGAUUAAUUCGAUGCAACGCGAAAAACCUUACCUACCCUUGACAUGUCCGGAAUCCCGAAGAGAUUUGGGAGUGCUCGAAAGAGAGCCGGAACACAGGUGCUGCAUGGCUGUCGUCAGCUCGUGUCGUGAGAUGUUGGGUUAAGUCCCGCAACGAGCGCAACCCUUAUCAUUAGUUGCCAUCAUUGAGUUGGGCACUCUAAUGAGACUGCCGGUGACAAACCGGAGGAAGGUGGGGAUGACGUCAAGUCCUCAUGGCCCUUAUGGGUAGGGCUUCACACGUCAUACAAUGGUCGGUACAGAGGGUUGCCAACCCGCGAGGGGGAGCUAAUCUCACAAAGCCGAUCGUAGUCCGGAUCGCAGUCUGCAACUCGACUGCGUGAAGUCGGAAUCGCUAGUAAUCGUGGAUCAGCAUGUCACGGUGAAUACGUUCCCGGGUC